This 641-nucleotide long non-coding RNA is filed under the name Callithrix jacchus (white-tufted-ear marmoset). RNAcentral describes it as "lncRNA (ENSCJAG00000078376.1)". The record is from RNAcentral. Lineage: Eukaryota; Metazoa; Chordata; Mammalia; Primates; Cebidae.
CUUCUCUUUACAAGGUUCCAGAUCUUGCCUAGCUCUAGUAACUUUAUUUUAUUUCUUUUUCCCUUUAGGUCUAAGGAUGAGAAGAGCAUCCUGCUGCUGCCACAAGUUAGAUAUAACUCCCUUUUCUCUUCCUCUAGCCUGUACACUGGCUAUGCAGUGGUCUCAAGUUCUACAGAGACAUGACUAGGUUUGACUUUAAAUUUAGGGAAAUGGUUGCGUGAGCUAAAUGUGUGUGCUCCCCCCAAAUAUAUAUAUUGAAAUUCUAAUCUCCAGUGUGACGGUAUGGACUGUACUGAGGGCACACUUACUGGACUCUGCCUCCAGUCAAUUACCAGGGCACUCAUUCUCCAGAUUGCUUGAGGACUCUCGUCAUGACAUUUCCAUAGAAUAUCAUGAAAUAGACACUGGAGCAAGCUGAAGUCUGUUUUGAGGUUUCUCUUUGGACCACUGUCUUAAUAAAUGAUUCUCAUCCCAGGGUCUGCUUCUGGAGAAUCUGAUCCAAGGUAAAGACCCUUAAUUUUGAGAAAGUAAGAUAUAUACACUCUAAGUAGUUAGUUAAUGACCCCAGAAUGGAUUUAUCAAAGUCAAUGGGGAAAAAAAUAACUAGGACAGAGAUAGCUAUUUUGUUGGCAAUAGAGGCG